AAUCUCCCCUAGAACCCUUUGAU
RNAcentral lists this microRNA (23 nucleotides) under Cordylochernes scorpioides. Lineage: Eukaryota; Metazoa; Arthropoda; Arachnida; Pseudoscorpiones; Chernetidae. The record is from RNAcentral.